Molecule: transfer RNA, 72 nt
Filed under: Ovis aries (sheep)
Lineage: Eukaryota; Metazoa; Chordata; Mammalia; Artiodactyla; Bovidae
Rfam family: tRNA
About the family: Transfer RNA (tRNA) molecules are approximately 80 nucleotides in length. Their secondary structure includes four short double-helical elements and three loops (D, anti-codon, and T loops).
Source: Rfam by way of RNAcentral
UCCCUGCUGGCUCAGAUGGUAAAGCAUCUGCCUGCAAUGCAGGAGACCCAGGUUCUAUCCUUGGGUCAGGAA